Molecule: unclassified non-coding RNA, 554 nt
Filed under: Homo sapiens (human)
Lineage: Eukaryota; Metazoa; Chordata; Mammalia; Primates; Hominidae
Description: ring finger protein 31 (ENSG00000285152.2)
Source: RNAcentral
AGUACUUCCUGUUCUCGGCUAACCCUGGCGCUGGGCCGGGGGCUGGAGAGUGACCGUGGUCUGAGUGACCUGGGGCGGCUGCGUGGGCCGGGGUGGGCCUCAAAGCCGGGCACCAGACGGGAGGGGCGGCGCUCGGGCCGCGCGCUGCCCGCGCCGGGUCCUGGCGGGCGGCGAGGCUGGGGCUGACUCCUGCCUCAGGAUGCCGGGGGAGGAAGAGGAGCGGGCCUUCCUGGUGGCCCGCGAGGAGCUGGCGAGCGCCCUGAGGAGGGAUUCCGGGCAGGCGUUUUCCCUGGAGCAGCUCCGGCCGCUACUAGCCAGCUCUCUGCCGCUAGCCGCCCGCUACCUGCAGCUGGACGCCGCACGCCUUGUCCGCUGCAACGCUCAUGGGGAGCCCCGAAACUACCUCAACACCCUGUCCACGGCUCUGAACAUCCUGGAGAAAUACGGCCGCAACCUUCUCAGCCCUCAGCGGCCUCGGGGGGCCGAGAUGUGCUGCGAUUAUAUGGCUACACAGAGGAGCAACCAGAUGGGUUGAGCUUCCCCGAAGGGCAGGA